RNA transcript from Hippopotamus amphibius kiboko, 3626 nucleotides. It is a transcript of the gene named transmembrane protein 186, with no coding region annotated. NCBI's taxonomy places the organism in Eukaryota, Metazoa, Chordata, Mammalia, Artiodactyla, Hippopotamidae. The record is from RefSeq and is a predicted model, not a curated record. The transcript has 3 exons.
GGUGGCAUUCACUUCCGGCAGCAGGGCCAUGGCUGCCCUCCUUCGAGCUGUGCCGCGGUCGCCAGGGCCAGCUGCGUGGGGAAGGCCUCUCCACAGGCUGUGGUGCUGCAGUGGGCAGGAUCCUAGAAGGUGGGUGGGGAGCAGGCCGCCCCCCUCCAAGAAGAAACCACCAGGCACAGAGACAGAGAAAUUUCAGAUGGUGUACCGGUUUGAUGCCAUCAGGGUCUUCGGGUACUUGUCUCGGCUGAAGGUGGCACAGACGGCCCUGACGGUGGUGGCCCUGCCACCUGGCCUCUACUGGUACUCCCAGGGCCUCAUGACCUUCCACUCCCUGUGCCUGGCGGGCGGGGUCGCUGGCUUCGCCAUGGCCAUGUUGUGCUGGAUGAGCCAUUUCUUCCGGAGGCUGGUGGGCAUCCUAUAUGUGAACGAGUCGGCCACCAUGCUGCGGGUAGCCCACCUGACCUUCUGGGGCUGGCGACAGGACACAUACUGCCCCGUGGCCGACAUGAUGCCCGUGACGGAAAGCCAGGAUCGGCCUCAGGAGCUGUUCGUGCGGAUCAAGCGGUACAGUGGGAAACAGACCUUCUACCUCACCUUGCGCUACGGACGCAUCCUGGACCGAGAGCGUUUCACGCAGGUGUUUGGGAUGCUGGACAAGCUCAAGUGAACAUCGAGGAGUGGGGCCUCCCGCAGGACAGCUGAGGAGUGGGGGUCGGGCAGCUGGAGACUUUGCGGGGGCCCCUGGGAACUUGUCUUUGGGGAUGAGGAAAUUCACGAGGUAGAAGAGAGUAAUCGGGUUUAGAAAGAGGCUCUGAGUGCAGAUACUUCACUGCACAUGUGUAUUACAUUCAGAUAAUGGCCAGAAGUUUCUGUUAAGAGCUAGUUCUUGGAGGAAGCAAUGCCAAGCUCACUGGAACAGUACCCUGCUGUGAAAUCAAAGACAGAGAGGUGGAGGGGGUGAGGAGCCAGAAGACUUGAGUCUAUACAUUUACAAAUCCCUGUCCUGGGGCAGGUUCUCAAAUCUCUUAGAACCUUGGUGUUCACAUCUGUAAAGUGGAAAAUUCCUCCCUGUCUCCUGGGAUGGUGUGAGAAUAAACAGUAAAUGUCACCGUUAGUUCAGUGAUGGCGUGGCGAAAGGCUUCCAGACAAUGGCUAGCGAUUUCACGAGCUACGUGCUGCGCCCCCUGGUGGACCCAGCGGCAGGAGGGACCAGGAUGAAGCCUAGAGACCGCCGGCCACAGAAGCUCUUCUGCAUGGACUCUGCUCGAGCUGGCAGCCUGUCCUCUGGACUCCCUGUGUCUUCACCGACCUCUGACAAGUCUCUUGAGUGCUGCAGAGAAUGUUUUGCUUGAAAUUCUUCCAGCUACACCCCCACCCCCAAAAGAGAAUGUCUCAGGAACUCACUACGCCCUGAGUCAACGAGCACUGGCUGCUAAAUGGCUUAAAAAGUUUUAUGAGAAGUAACUUCCCUUGGUAAGGAGUGAAUAAGUCUGGAAAUGACUUUCCAGAUAAAAAAGAUUUCAUUUCUGUCAAUGCCUUGUGGGGAGAGAACAAAAUAUUGGAGCCACUCUCUCCACCAAAGAGAGCCACGUUUCUGGUUGUGCCCUAGCUUAAAAACCUUUUGGACUCCAGGAACCUCGCUGUAUGUUUGGAUCCAAUGCUGAAGUUCUCAGGAUGAAAGCAUACGUGAACUAUGGUUGGUUUGCAUUUUGCUUGUUUGUUAAAUAAGGCCUUGAAUCUUGGGAUAUUGCCUGUGGAAUCUGGAUCCCCAGUGAAAAGUGUGAGGCUGUGAACUCAUGUGUCUUUGCACAUGCUGUUCCCCUUCUGCAACACUCUUCCUUGCCUUGUCUGCUUGGUGAACUCCUGCUCAUCCUGCAAAACCCUGCUCAAAUGUCACUUGCUCCUGGGAACCUCCUCUGACCCUUGGGUGGAUUCGGCCCCUCCCUCUGAGUUCCUGAUGUCCCUACACAUUACCUCUGUUAUGACACUUGCCAUUCUGCGUUAAUUGUUGGUUUAAGAGUCUGUUGUCCCCAACGGGAUGUGAGUCCCUUGAGAGCAGGGACUUGGUUUUAUUUCACCUUUGGAUUUCUAGUGCUUCGCACUGGGCCUGGGACAGAGCAGGUGUUUAAUGUGUGUCAUGAAUAAGUGAUUGGAUACGUAAAUGAAUAUACAAAUGAGUGAAAGCUUGCAGAGGGAGGCGGGCUCUGUUCAGCAUUCAGUUGGCAGUGCGAGUGCCCUUGCACAUGGCAGCGCUCCUUAAAAGCAAUGGGUUAGCACUGAGUGCAGGAACGCUGGGUGAACUGGGAUUCAGGGAUCCGGCUAUGUCUGUUAAACACGCGAGUGCCUUUUAUUCUCAGCAAAAAUAGGUUGAUGACCAAAUCUGCUGAAAAGUGGAAGCGGAAAAAAGCCAAACCACGUUGAGAUCUUUGGAUGAUUAGUUAUUAAAAGACAAAAGCUCAAUUGAGAAUCUUGAUCUGCCCGGCUCCCAAAACAGUCGGCCAAGGCAGCAGGAGACCACGCGGCUUCCUUUGGGACAGACGUCCUUCGUCUACCCGCUAAAUACCCCCUCGUUGCUGUAGGACAACUAAAUGCUCUUUUUAGGAGCAUCUGAAGUCAAAUCCGUUCCAAAACUGUCUUGCCUCCUGCAGAGAUCCCCAGCCAUCGUCCAAUUAAGCCUCUAAGCACCACCUGCCUCGUCAUCUCACAGUGACUCAUGGCCGGAAAAGCUCUGACUUGGAGGCGUAAUGACAAGGAAACCACCUCGUACCAACAGGCUACUUUUUCCUGCAUGGAGCUCUGGUGCCUUUAAUUCAUGAUGCCGCCCACGAGAAGAAACCCAGUCCAACUCUGAUGGAGCAGCAAAGCCAUUCCUGGGGUGGCUCAGGUGUGGAGCAGAGGCAGAUGAGCAGAAGCUAGAGAAGGGGUCCCAGGGCGAGGGGUCCAAGGUCAGACCCCAGAUGCCGUGGGGACAGGAGGCGGGGUCUCUGCUGCCCCAAGCCUGGGCUUACGCUCCUGGGGGUGUGUGGCCAGGGUGAUCGGACACAGCUUUCCUUUCACAGAGGUCUGGGCUGAUGUUUAACGGGAGGGAGUGCCUUUGGGGAAUGAGGGCGGUGAGUAAGACCCAUCAGCGGUGCCACCCAGAGAUGCCCCCAGGACGAGGCCUCAUCAAGGAGAGCGUUCACAGUUUGGAGAGGAAUCCCCAGGUGCAUCGGGGGAGUGGUCUUACUUUUCAGGAGGCCAGAAGACCCUUUCGCACACCCCCAAGCUCAAUCCCAUGUCUCUACGGUCCUGUCUUCAAACGCUCUGUCCUGCCCAUCACUGGACUGCACGUGGGAUGUGCUCAGAGCUCUGGGACUUGGGGAUGAGGCGGAAGCAUAUCUGCUUGCAUAGGGCAGGGGAAGCCAGCAUCCUCCCCUCUUAGAAUGUGUCACUCAAGAGGUAUGGAACCCAGGAGACCCAGCCACCCCCACCAGGGACAGGUGUCAUUCCUUUGACUGGCUUCCAAAGGUAUCAUCUGGGUCAGGAGUGGCAAACACACGGCCAGGACCCUCGGGGCCCGUCCUAAGACUAUGUCCAGGGCUCAAGCAGAAUUUCUGGGCUUAAAACCAAUGUGCGCCACUGGCUCU